UGAGAAGGAGUCCCGACACCUGAUGCC
RNAcentral lists this non-coding RNA (27 nucleotides) under Homo sapiens (human). The record is from RNAcentral. Lineage: Eukaryota; Metazoa; Chordata; Mammalia; Primates; Hominidae.